UUUAAAGUUAUUUUCUAAAAACCACCAGAAAGUACUCGAGUGAUUUUACCCUCGUCUGCACUGGCGUGAAUGUGUUUCCACAGUGUAUGACUUCAUAUGGUUAUUUUACCUACUCUGCGCUGAUGUGAAUGUCUUUCCACAGUGUAUGAUUAGUAUAGUGAUUUUACCUGCUUUGCACUAUUGUGAAUGUGUUUCCAUAGUGUAUGACCAUUUUAUAACUCUGCGCACGUACGAUCAGAAUUACAGAAUUUCAGAAUUACAGGAUUAUAGAAUUACAGAAUUUCAGAAUUGAAUAACCUUGCUAUGUACAUCGAGAUUAAUCGAUACACGAGUAUAGUUAUUCUGGGUACAUUUUUGGUGUGAUGUUUUAAUAUUACAUAGCUUAUCAAAUUUUAGAAAUGUGGUAUACAGAAUAAAGAUGUUUAUGAUUAUAGUAUAUUUUGGUUUUGAAAGUAUUAUCAGAUUUUAAGAUAUAGAAUUUAGCUUAUUCAGUUUAAAGAAUAAAUAUUUUAGUUUACAUGUCUGUAGAAAGAAAUUUUAUGCUAUAUGUUGGUUUUUAGAAAGAUUUUAUGAAUGGAAAAGUAUACUUUUAUAAAUAUCCACUCAUUGAGUCGCAAGCUCAUAUUUUUGCC
RNAcentral lists this long non-coding RNA (632 nucleotides) under Olea europaea subsp. europaea. The record is from RNAcentral. Lineage: Eukaryota; Viridiplantae; Streptophyta; Magnoliopsida; Lamiales; Oleaceae.